AGAGAGAGACAUGCGCGCAUAUCAAUAAGCGGAGGAAAAGAAACUAACAAGGAUUCCCUUAGUAACGGCGAGUGAAGCGGGAAGAGCUCAAAUUUGAAAUCUUCAAGGUUUUACCUUGACGAAUUGUAGUUUAAAGAAGUGUUUUCUGCUGAAGUUUUGGUAAAAGUUCUUUGGAAUAGGACAUCAUAGAGGGUGAGAAUCCCGUAUUUGACCAUUAUUUUCAGCUUUGUGAUACACUUUCAAAGAGUCGGAUUGUUUGGGAAUGCAGUCCAAAAUGGGUGGUAAAUUUCAUCUAAAGCUAAAUAUUGGCGAGAGACCGAUAGCGAACAAGUACCGUGAGGGAAAGAUGAAAAGAACUUUGAAAAGAGAGUUAAACAGUACGUGAAAUUGUCAAAAGGGAAGCGUUUGACACCAGUGUUGUUUUCUCGAAAAUCAAUUAAAAAUGGCUCGAUUUUGUAUUGCUGAGACCUUAAAAGCUCACUGUACAUUUUUCGUGUCUUUUUUAAUGCACUUUUCGUUUAACAAGUCAACAUCAGUUUCUUUCGUUGUAAAAGGGUCAUUGGAAGGUGGCUUUCUUUUCGGAGAAGUGUUUAUAGCCUUUGGCCUCUGCAAUCGAAGAGACUGAGGUCUGCAGCGUAGACUCUUCGGGGUUAGAUACAUUUGUGCUAAGUUAUAGCUUUUUAUAGACAACUUGUUGACUAUAAUUAGUCUUGUAGCUUACUCGCUUAUGCUAUUUUACCUACGCUUAGGAUGUUGAAGAUGUAGCACAUCAU
Molecule: ribosomal RNA, 773 nt
Filed under: uncultured Neocallimastigales
Lineage: Eukaryota; Fungi; Neocallimastigomycota; Neocallimastigomycetes; Neocallimastigales
Description: partial large subunit ribosomal RNA
Rfam family: Eukaryotic large subunit ribosomal RNA
Source: RNAcentral